Molecule: ribosomal RNA, 253 nt
Filed under: uncultured bacterium
Lineage: Bacteria
Description: partial 16S ribosomal RNA
Rfam family: Bacterial small subunit ribosomal RNA
Source: RNAcentral
UACAGAGGGGGCAAGCGUUGUUCGGAAUUACUGGGCGUAAAGGGCGCGUAGGCGGCCUGCUAAGUCGAACGUGAAAUCCCCGGGCUCAACCCGGGAACUGCGUCCGAUACUGGCAGGCUUGAAUUCGGGAGAGGGAUGCGGAAUUCCAGGUGUAGCGGUGAAACGCGUAGAUAUCUGGAGGAACACCGGUGGCGAAGGCGGCAUCCUGGACCGAGAUUGACGCUGAUGCGCGAAAGCCAGGGGAGCAAACGGG